Molecule: ribosomal RNA, 164 nt
Filed under: Delphinium delavayi
Lineage: Eukaryota; Viridiplantae; Streptophyta; Magnoliopsida; Ranunculales; Ranunculaceae
Also listed under: 2 other names
Description: 5.8S ribosomal RNA
Rfam family: 5.8S ribosomal RNA
About the family: 5.8S ribosomal RNA (5.8S rRNA) is a component of the large subunit of the eukaryotic ribosome.
Source: RNAcentral
UCGAACGACUCCCGGCAACGGAUAUCUCGGCUCUUGCAUCGAUGAAGAACGUAGCGAAAUGCGAUACUUGGUGUGAAUUGCAGAAUCCCGUGAACCAUCGAGUCUUUGAACGCAAGUUGCGCCCGAGGCCACUAGGCCGAGGGCACGCCUGCCUGGGCGUCACA